This 8299-nucleotide long non-coding RNA is filed under the name Homo sapiens (human). Its description in RNAcentral is "HSALNT0252139". The record is from RNAcentral. Lineage: Eukaryota; Metazoa; Chordata; Mammalia; Primates; Hominidae.
CAGAGUUCUUCAGUCAGCAGAGCUUAAGAGGUAAUGAGAGAUCACCAGGCUAGGAGGAUAGAGAAGCCUGAAUUCUGCUAAGGAAUAGACAUAAACAACUGCCAGCCAUUAUUCUGGAGGUCACAAGAAGUGAUUCAGCACUCAGGAUUAUUGCCCACACCCCUACGAUUGCACCCCCAAGCAAUCACCAGCAAGCACCCAAUGCCUAGCCAUCCCCACCCCUUCCCCCAAACUACCUUUGAAAAACCCCUAACCUACCAGCCUUCAAUGAGAUUGAUUUGAGUAAUAACUCCAUCUCCAGUGUGGAGUGGCCAGCCUCACAUCAAUUAAACUCUUUCUUUACUGCAAUGCUAUGGUCUUUGUUUGUGCAGCAGGCAGGAAGAACUCCUCAGGCAGUUACACUUCGAGCCUUAAGACACCUUGAUGUCAGACUUCCAGUGCCCUGAAUUGUGACAGAAUAAAUUUCUGUUGUUUUAAAACUCCCAAGUUUGUGACAGUUUGUUAUGGCAGUUCUAGGAAACUAAAAUAAAUGGUGAUUUUUGACGCCCCUUAAAUCACCUCACUUAUGGGAGUGUCCACUUCAUCUACUCCAGGCUCACCCCCUCUUUUCCCAAAGAGAAGAAAUAUUUUGUGUACGAGAAUAUUUCUUCCUGAUCUUCACUUUGCAGCAUAUGGACUGCAACAAGAGCGUGAGAAAAGCAAUGCCAAGUCAAUAAGGAUUGCUUGUCCAGUGCACAAAACACCCUGCUUAGCAUAAGAGUAACAGAAGCAUUUCUUUGUCACUAGUUAGCUGUGUGACCUUAAGGGAGUGACUUAACCCUUUGAAACUUCCACUUUCUCAAAACAAAUUAGUUGCACAAUACAUAUUUAAGGUCCUUAAUGUCAUAGAAUUACUUAGCAAAUUAUAGUAUUAGGAGCAAAGAAAAGACAAUAGGGGAAAACAUGAAGAAGCCUUGGAAACUUGAGUACAUCCUCCCUAAAGGAAAAUAACUCCCACAAAUGCUUAAAACGCACCCAUUACAUAGGGCUUUAAUCAUAGGAUAAUUUUGUGCCUGCAACUGCCUAAUUUUUAGUACCAUAGUAAAUAGGUCCUGACAACAGAUUGUUCUUUUAAAUGCAAAUGUUCCCACUAUCUUGACACAUUAUAAUUGUUCUUAGGGCUAUUGACAUCAACAACAUCAGUAUCUCAGGAAAAAUGUGCUGUAUGUAUUUCACUACCUGUCUCGGCUAACCCAUAUGAACAUAUAGCCCUUUUUCUUCAGCAAUCCUCUCUGCAAAUCAUGAUCAUAGAGGCCUCCCCUUAGCAGGACACAGCCUCUCCUAGCCAUCCUGGGAAUUAACUCCACACAGCAGGUUGGGUCUUGCCUACUCACCUUGCAAGCACUCAAUUCAAGGUUAGAGAAAGGUGUAAUUAAAGAGAGAAUAUAAUCUUUCAAUCUUUAGGUUGCAUAUCAAGGACCAAAGUCUCCAAAGACUCUCACUAGCUGAAGCUCUUUGGCAAUGGAGGGGGAAAAUCAAGGCUAGGAAGAGUUAAUCCAGAUUCUAGGACAGGUUAACGUUUCCCUCUUGCUUAGCCCAAGACCUUUAGCCUCUUUUUACUUCUUGCAUUACCAUAUCAAUAUUCCCUUUUCACCCAAAUCCCUCCAUCUACAGCAACUGGUGAGCUGUAAGUUUUGUUUUGUUUAUAUUUGUUAGCAGCUUAACUAUUUCAUGUUCAUUUACAUAUUCCAUGCAAUGUAUCCAUUGAAGUCACUAACAUAUUACUUCCUUGUAGAUCCUUUACAUUCUUUACCAUAUUUUUUUAGUUUAAGGAAAAAUAGCCAAUAAUGUCCCUGCUUAAAUAGAACACAAAGAAGUGAGAGUAUUGAUGGUUAUAAAUUGCUCCUGGUCUUCCAAUAUGGAAACCAAAAACUGGAGACUGGAAAAUCACAUGAAGGAAGACUUUUAGAAAAGUGAUUCAACUGUUAUUAUGAAUUCCUUGAAAAUUUUAACCAAUAGGUUAAAGUUAAAACAGGUUAAUAUAAAAGAAAAACAUAAAUGAUUUAAUGACAUAGUGAGUAGAAAAGUGACACAUACUUCAAAGGGAGAAUGGGGAUACCAGUACAGGGAGUUUGGGAAGAGAAAGUAUGAACUAUAGAAAGGGGAGGAGAAACUGAUACAGAAGGCAUGAGCUCGUGUGUUGCUCUUCAGGUGUUUGUCAGAUCUAGUUACUAACAAUAACAACCAUGCACAAAUGUCCUAUGUGAGAGCAGUAAAAGCUCCUCUGGUAGGCUAGGCCACCUACCAGCUCUGUCCUGCCUCUCAAGGUGAAAGUCAGAACCAUCAUAUUCCCUGUGCAACCCAAGGCCUAACAAAUCCCAGAACAGUAGCCCUCGUUACACUAAGAUUCCCGCGGUUCUCAGGUCGAGAUGCCAAAGUAGGCCAUUUAGCAGCCAGCUGUUCCUGGUGACUAACUUAUCAGUGCUCUGAGGAUUAUUUUUGAAGAUAUAAAUGAAUGUUAGUCUUUGAGCCCCAGAAACACAGCUCACUAAAUAUGAAUCAUUGUGCUAAUCCAGUGCAGGACUCUGUAGGUGUGGGCUGUGUUGUUUGUCCUGGGCUCAAGGAAGAAAGCAAUGAUAUAUUUAAAGCAGGGUGUUUUCAGAGAGAGCAUUAACACAGUGAAUUAUAUGGAGAAUGCAAAUGAAAGAACAGUGAAAGUGACCUUGAGUCCUGUGGCUCAAACUAGUUCCCUGUUAGCUAAUAGCCAAACUGAUCGAGAACAUCAGGAGAGGAAGUUAUAGAUGUUCUGUUUAUUAAACAGAAAACAUUAACAACUUGGUUGUACAUUGAAACACACUAAGACAUGAAAACAAGCACAGGGCAAAAGGGAAAAGUUCAGCGAAUUUUCCUGAACUUUUUUUUUCCUUUUUAGUGCUGUUUUAGCAAUGGCAUUUGAUCAAAUACAGGAAAGGAAUUUUUUGUUUUGUUUUGUUUGUUUUUUUGCAGAGCUUCUUUUGUCCCUAUGAGAUUCACAAUUUUAAUGCAAUCCACUGCAGAAACUGUUGAAAUAUAAAUCUACAGGUCAUAUCUCAAAGUAAGAUGGUAGCACAUUCCAUUGUUUGGGGGAACAGCAGAGACAUUAGAGCUCAGAGGAUGUUUCCAUUUUACAGGAUGGAAAAUGGAGGCCCAAGAAAUUCAAAUGACGUGCCCAAGGUAGUCAUGGAAAUAAGUCUAGAAUUUUGACUUCUGUCCACGCAUACAUCCUGUGCCUUAAGGUCAUGAGUUGCCACUCAUCACCGCAGUCCCUUAUAAGGCUUAGGCUGGGUAUAGAGAAAAUGGAAGAAAGCCAUUGCAAAGUUACAUCUGAAUAACUCUAAGCAUGCUACACUCAAUAAAACCCAACUUCCGAAAAACAUGGCUUACAGACCAAGUUUUUACUGUUUAUGGGACUGCAGUGUUCUGCACACAUGACUAAAAAGCUCCAAGCACUACCUUAAAUCAUCCAUAGUUGUAGGCUAAAGUCUGCCCCCAGCCCCACCCCUUCACCCAAACCUCUAAAUGUGAUCUGUGAAAUUUCUUUCUACUUUGAGAAUAGGAAAAUGAGCUGGGCUCAGUUAAGGGCCAUCACCAAGUUCCACAUGGCUCCUGAGAUGGUUUGUCUUCUGGGUAUGAGCCCCUUCCCCCUUCUCCCUCAGAUGAAGCUCUCUUAACCCACUGGACACCUGUGGGCAGCUUAGGCAAGGAGGGCAGCCUCUAGGUAGGCAGAUUCAAAGUUGAUUCAAACAUGCUCUUGUCCCUCUGGGCAUUCACACUAAGCUCUUUCACCUUUCAGCCAGACAUACACAUCAGGAUUUCCUGACAGGAACACUUGGUUGAUGUUGGCAGCUGAAGAAGCGAAAGCAUUUUCCUUGGUAUGACACUUCCACUGAAGGGACCAAAGGGAUUCAGAGGCACUGGUGACAUUUGGUGGAAUUCACCAUCUGACUUAGAAGAGAUCAAGACAGAAAUCUGAGUUGGAAUCCACUUUUCCAUCUGUACAAAAAUCAUCACUAGAGUUGAGUCAAGGACAACAUUCUAAAAAUUAGCCAGUGUCUACCUGGAGAUGGUAAACUGCAGAAAUUGAGCCAGGACACGCAUGUCUAGAAAAGGGGUGGUCUCCAGAGCAACAUACUCUGGGGGUUUUCAGAGGGUUGUGUGCUUUCUACAUAAGCCCAGCCUGGACUUUGAGAACCCACAAAUGUCAAACAUGAGGUUGCCCUCAGACAGCUCCUAGGAAAACAAGGCCUUGUAGGCCCAAAGCAGGAAAUGUCCGUGGGCUUGGUUCACACUGGUUUCAGGACAUUGUACCUUUGUGAUCACAAAAGGGAUUCUAUUCCCAGUGCCUUUAGGGAAGGAAAUCUUACAGCGCCACAUAUUUCUGCUGCUGAUUAAUAACUCCCCAUAGUCAAAGGAGACAGGGAAAAAUUAGGAAGUUAUCUACCAACAGACCUGGGCAACUCGUCAGAUCUCCAAGAGGUAGAAACUAGGAACUAAAAGACUUGGAUUCUACUCCCAGUUCUGUUUCUGAAAAGCUACAUGAGUUUAGGGAAGUUCCUAAGCUCCAGUUUUCUCAUCUAUUAAAUGAGUUGACUUACCUCACAGGGCUAGUGUGAGUGAGGUUCACAAGAAAUCUUUGUGUAUAAGGAUCUUUAAAAAGUGGCCAGGUAUAGUGGCUCACACCUGCAAUCUCAGCACUUUGGGAGGCUGAGGCAGGAGGAUUGAUUCAGCUUAGGAGUUCAAGACUAGACUGGGCAACAUAAUAAGACCCCAUCUCUUUUUUAUUAAAAAAGAAAAGAAAAGAAAAGUUCUCUGUAAACAAGAGAAAGACUUAGUUUGAUUAACAUUAGACUAUCUUCUCUCUUCCUCUCAUUGAUGAGCCUGUAGCUCCAGCUGGCUUCCUGGAGUCAGCAGAGUCAUUACUCAGCUAUCUACCACCUGCUGGCUCCCAGUGGCUCAGAGAUUCAGGUAAACCAAGCUGCUACUGAGCCAAGAAAGAGUGGUAGCAGAAGGGACAUCUCCUUGGGAUGUUAACAAUCACAAAGGCUCUGGCAUAGGAGUCCUGUAAGCUGGUGAUGGAUCAGAGAGCAAGCAUGCAUCUCCUUUUAAUUAAAAAAGCAAAAAUCUAACUAUGACCUGAAACCUUAAGAUAUCUCAAAAGAGGACCCUGCUGUUUUCCUUGUGUACUUGCUGAUUCAACCUCCAGGUUUAUGCACAGAUCAGAUGGGUCAGAUUUUGGAAGCAGAACUGUAGUUCAUGCAGAAAUCAGGUCAACAAUUAGCAACUGCAGCCCUUCAUUAAGCGCUUCUCCAAGCCUGUGUUCAGCCGUGUAAUGAGAUUGCAUAAAACCUGACUCUUACCUGAAUUUAAAUCAGACUCACUCUACCCUCUCAAAGGGAGCUCAUUCACAGCCCUGAUAUUUUUUUCCCCUGCCUAUUCAUUCUAUUACUGUCCUCUGCCAUGAGAAUCUGAGCUACAGAACCAGGAGCUGGCCUGAAGAGCUCCACUUCCCAAAGAGCUACUGGGGAUUGCUCGAUUUGUAAGAGACCAAAAGAAAUUUGGAGAGGAGGCGUUAUUUUGCAAAGGAUAAGGAAUUCAUCCUUGGAUGCGCUGGAGCUGCUUAGUGGAAUACCAAGGGAAAACAAGUCUGUGUCUUUGAAUCCUAUCCAGCUGCAGCCACAAGUUCCUGAAGAGUACAUGCAAGAUGACAUGCAAACAAUCCACAUGCUAUUUUUGGCCAAAAUGAGUGAGCAAGGAGACCCUUCUGCAUAGAUCAAAUGAAGACUUAAGUGUCAUUGGUCCUGCAUGUUUCCUUCCCUUGAACAGCUCCACGAGGAUUUUUAGGGCAGAGGGUUCCUCCCAAGUAGAGGGAGUUCCGGGCCCAGCAUAGAAUAAAGAAAAAGAAGGGAGAUAUAUAUAUAGAUAGAUACAUAGAUAUACAGAUAUAUAGAUAUACAUUUUAAAAUAUGAUAAUAUAUAAAUAUACAUAAUAUAUGUAAAUAUCUUUGUAUAUAUUCCAAAGAGUCUGAUACCCAAAAGAUGACACUCCGCAGUGAAUCAAGAGAGUUAAACUUCUGCUUCUUUCCCUCGUUGCUCCACACUUUAACACCCUGUUCUAAUUGCAUCCUUAAUCCACAUCAGAGUUCUAAACAGAGAAUUUCUGGGAGGUAGAGGGGUAGUGGGGUUCACACUGCUUGAGAGAUCCUAACAGCGUGGCCCAAUUUCUGAGGAGAGCGAUGCCUUGAGUGGGCAAAGGAUGAUGAGAGUACAUACUUAGAGGAGUAAGGCAAAAGUAAGCAGCUGUAACAGGCUGUUCCAAUAGAAAGAGACUUGAUAAAGAAGUCAGAUAACAGGAACAAGAAUCCUCAAAGAGAUCUAAUUAGGGCAUGAAAAAGACUUCGUGGGACCAAAAAAAAAAAAGAUUAAUUUUUAUUUAAAAACUAAACAAUUUAAUUGAAGUAUCAAAUAGACAAUUUGGAAAAGUGAACAGCCACAAUCAAGAACCAACUCAGAAGCCUAGAAGAAAUACAUUGCUGCACAGGAAAAAAUACAAAGAUAGAAAUCAUAGGACAAAACAAAGAAAUUUGAACGCAGAUCCAGGAAGCUUUUUGUGGCAGAAAAGGAUGUCUGGAAAAGAAGGAACAGAGACAGGGGAGUUAAUAAUGAAACAAAUAGUGCAGAAAAAACUCCCACCCUGGAGAAAGACUUGAGGCUGAAGACUGAACGGGAUAAUUGUGUUUUGGAUGGAUUAAUAGAAACACGGCACAGCUCUUGGUGAAAUUCUUAAAUCCCCAGAACAGAGGCAGGGGAUGCUCAUUUAAUUGUCCCAAAGGCAUUGUUUCUCAACAUAUAGUCCAUGGACUUCCUACCUCAGAACGAAGAAACUGGUUAAAAAUUCAGAUUCCAGAACUUCUGAAUCACAACCUUUGGUUGACAACCCUUGAAUCUGUGGACAAGUCACAUAAAUCUAAAAGUUUAUACUGUCCACAGUCCUUUCCUUUGGUCCUAAUAUCAGCGCCAACGUGGAUUCACAGCCAAAAGGAGUUCAUGAUGCAUCUCCCAUGGAAAGAGCUUAUACCUCAAACCCACAAGGCUCCCCUCUACAUUCACCACAUGGAGAACAGACCAGCCAAAACCUCUCAGGAGUAAGGAAAGCCAAAGGAGAAACCUCAGGAAGGGCUGGACUGGGCACAUUUGGUUUCCUUGAAGUCACUUAUUAGAUAACUAAGCUAACUCUUCCUCAUGACAGAGAAGAGUGGCUUGGGUCUCUCCCCGCAGGAAGACAUGGCCAGGGGAAUGAAGGUUCUUCCUCGACAGGUGUACUGGAGAUAUUCUACAUCAAUGUUUUAGAAUUCUGUUUGUAAAUAAUGCCAGUUGAAAAUGAUGGUUUUUUUGUGUGUAACUAGUACAAUCCAAAUCAGACAUUUAUUGAACUCUCACUGUGUGUAAAGGAAAAUACUUACCUCUGUAGGAUAGAGGAUAAAGAACUACUAAGAUAAGCACAUAAUGCUUCACAAAAGUACUAAAAAAAAAAUUAAAAAAGUAAAACUGUCACCUUAGAAUUCUGUAUUACAUGAAAAUAUAUUUAUUUUUAUUCAUUUAUUUGCUUGUUUUUGAGACAGGGUCUCCCUCUGUCACCCAGGCGGGAGUGCAGUGGAGCAAUCACAGAUCACUACAGCCUUGACCUCCCAGGCUCAAGUGAUCCUCCCACCUCAUUAUUGUACAUUUUUAAAUGUACAAUAGAUUAUUGUUGAACUGGAAUCCAGCUAGAAUCCAAUUUUUAGAAACUCACUCUAAGGUAAUGAUUAAAAUAUCAGGUGUUAGUUCUAUAAAUCUGUCAUCUAGAUUAAAAACCAGAUGCUUCCAUUCCAGGGUGGAGUAUUUGCCAGUAACUCUCUGGAGAUCUGUCUUAUCUGUGACCAAGACAACGAAGCUUAAAAAAAGGCAAUAAUGUUGGAAAAAGACAUGAAUAUGGUCUGUAUUAAAUUGAUUCUACUUUUUAUUUAGUCAUGACUCUGGACUAACUUUCAAAAAGUAAAAUGUUAUGCCAGCCUAGCAAAUGUUCAUAUCAAAUUCCUCAUUGUUUUCUCUACUCUCCUUUGUCCUGCCCUCCACUUUUGUUUGCUUGGUGAGGCUCACCCUAAAAUAUGUAAAAAUAUGUAAAAUAUGUAAAAAAAAAAUUUAAAAAGCAAUGAUGUUCUGUUGGAAGAAACAAAGGAAAGAAAUAAAAGUUGCAUUUAAAGGGUACAGAAAGAAAUGAUUUUCCUUUUCUGCUUCAAAUGGG